GAUGAACGCUGGCGGCGUGCCUAAUACAUGCAAGUCGAGCGAACGGACGAGAAGCUUGCUUCUCUGAUGUUAGCGGCGGACGGGUGAGUAACACGUGGAUAACCUACCUAUAAGACUGGGAUAACUUCGGGAAACCGGAGCUAAUACCGGAUAAUAUUUUGAACCGCAUGGUUCAAAAGUGAAAGACGGUCUUGCUGUCACUUAUAGAUGGAUCCGCGCUGCAUUAGCUAGUUGGUAAGGUAACGGCUUACCAAGGCAACGAUGCAUAGCCGACCUGAGAGGGUGAGCGGCCACACUGGAACUGAGACACGGUCCAGACUCCUACGGGAGGCAGCAGUAGGGAAUCUUCCUCAAUGGGCUAAAGCCUGACGGAGCAACGCCGCGUGAGUGAUGAAGGUCUUCGGAUCGUAAAACUCUUUUAUGAGGGAAGAACAAAUGUGUAAGUAACUAUGCACGUCUUGACGGUACCUAAUCAGAAAGCCACGGCUAACUACGUG
RNAcentral lists this ribosomal RNA (497 nucleotides) under uncultured bacterium. RNAcentral's name for it is "partial 16S ribosomal RNA". It matches the Rfam family "Bacterial small subunit ribosomal RNA", at positions 28 to 507 of the family's 1533-position model. The record is from RNAcentral.